RNAcentral lists this ribosomal RNA (253 nucleotides) under uncultured bacterium. Its description in RNAcentral is "partial 16S ribosomal RNA". It matches the Rfam family "Bacterial small subunit ribosomal RNA", at positions 524 to 776 of the family's 1533-position model. The record is from RNAcentral.
UACGAAGGGGGCUAGCGUUGCUCGGAAUCACUGGGCGUAAAGCGCACGUAGGCGGACUCUUAAGUCGGUGGUGAAAUCCUGGAGCUCAACUCCAGAACUGCCUUCGAUACUGGCGAUCUCGAGUCCGGAAGAGGUGAGUGGAACUCCUAGUGUAGAGGUGGAAUUCGUAGAUAUUAGGAAGAACACCAGUGGCGAAGGCGACUCACUGGUCCGGUACUGACGCUGAGGUGCGAAAGCGUGGGGAGCAAACAGG